GGACGAACGCUGGCGGCGUGCCUAAUACAUGCAAGUCGAACGCACUGACGUCGACAGAAGGUGCUUGCACUGGAAGUUGAUUGACGUGAGUGGCGGACGGGUGAGUAACACGUGGGUAACCUGCCCUUAAGCGGGGGAUAACAUUUGGAAACAGAUGCUAAUACCGCAUAAAAGUUGAGAUCACAUGGUCUUAAUUUGAAAGACGGCCUUUGGCUGUCACUUAAGGAUGGACCCGCGGCGUAUUAGCUAGUUGGUGAGAUAAUAGCCCACCAAGGCGAUGAUACGUAGCCGACCUGAGAGGGUAACCGGCCACAUUGGGACUGAGACACGGCCCAAACUCCUACGGGAGGCAGCAGUAGGGAAUCUUCCACAAUGGACGAAAGUCUGAUGGAGCAACGCCGCGUGAGUGAAGAAGGUUUUCGGAUCGUAAAACUCUGUUGUUGGAGAAGAACAGGGACUAGAGUAACUGUUAGUCCUUUGACGGUAUCCAACCAGAAAGCCACGGCUAACUACGUGCCAGCAGCCGCGGUAAUACGUAGGUGGCAAGCGUUGUCCGGAUUUAUUGGGCGUAAAGCGAGCGCAGGCGGUUUCUUAAGUCUGAUGUGAAAGCCUUCGGCUUAACCGAAGAAGUGCAUCAGAUACUGGGAAACUUGAGUGCAGAAGAGGAAAGUGGAACUCCAUGUGUAGCGGUGAAAUGCGUAGAUAUAUGGAAGAACACCAGUGGCGAAGGCGGCUUUUUGGUCUGUAACUGACGCUGAGGCUUGAAAGUAUGGGGAGCGAACAGGAUUAGAUACCCUGGUAGUCCAUACCGUAAACGAUGAAUGCUAAGUGUUGGAGGGUUUCCGCCCUUCAGUGCUGCAGCUAACGCAUUAAGCAUUCCGCCUGGGGAGUACGACCGCAAGGUUGAAACUCAAAGGAAUUGACGGGGGCCCGCACAAGCGGUGGAGCAUGUGGUUUAAUUCGAAGCUACGCGAAGAACCUUACCAGGUCUUGACAUCUAGCGCCAAUCCUAGAGAUAGGACGUUCCCUUCGGGGACGCUAAGACAGGUGGUGCAUGGUUGUCGUCAGCUCGUGUCGUGAGAUGUUGGGUUAAGUCCCGCAACGAGCGCAACCCUUAUGAUUAGUUGCCAGCAUUUAGUUGGGCACUCUAAUCAGACUGCCGGUGACAAACC
RNAcentral lists this ribosomal RNA (1172 nucleotides) under uncultured bacterium. RNAcentral's name for it is "bacterial SSU rRNA". It matches the Rfam family "Bacterial small subunit ribosomal RNA", at positions 27 to 1164 of the family's 1533-position model. The record is from RNAcentral.